RNAcentral lists this ribosomal RNA (517 nucleotides) under uncultured soil bacterium. RNAcentral describes it as "bacterial SSU rRNA". It matches the Rfam family "Bacterial small subunit ribosomal RNA", at positions 8 to 526 of the family's 1533-position model. The record is from RNAcentral.
AGAGUUUGAUCCUGGCUCAGAUUGAACGCUGGCGGCAUGCCUUACACAUGCAAGUCGAACGGUAGAGGGGCAACCCUUGAGAGUGGCGAACGGGUGAGUAAUAUAUCGGAACGUGCCCAGUCGUGGGGGAUAACGCAGCGAAAGCUGCGCUAAUACCGCAUACGAUCUAUGGAUGAAAGCGGGGGAUCGCAAGACCUCGCGCGAUUGGAGCGGCCGAUAUCAGAUUAGGUAGUUGGUGGGGUAAAAGCCCACCAAGCCGACGAUCUGUAGCUGGUCUGAGAGGACGACCAGCCACACUGGGACUGAGACACGGCCCAGACUCCUACGGGAGGCAGCAGUGGGGAAUUUUGGACAAUGGGCGCAAGCCUGAUCCAGCAAUGCCGCGUGCAGGACGAAGGCCUUCGGGUUGUAAACUGCUUUUGUACGGAGCGAAACGGUCUGGGUUAAUACCCUGGGCUAAUGACGGUACCGUAAGAAUAAGCACCGGCUAACUACGUGCCAGCCGCCGCGGUAANAC